RNAcentral lists this long non-coding RNA (823 nucleotides) under Homo sapiens (human). RNAcentral's name for it is "non-protein coding lnc-CHD9-9:1". The record is from RNAcentral. Lineage: Eukaryota; Metazoa; Chordata; Mammalia; Primates; Hominidae.
UGGCUGCCAAAGUGUUUGAGUUCAUCAGCAAGUUUGGCCUGGCCUUAGCUGUUGCAGGAGGCCUGGUGAAAUGAACUCUGCCUUAUAGAAUGUGGAUGCUGGGCACAGAGCUGUCAUCUUUGACCUAUUCCGUGGAGUACAGGACAUUGUGGUAGGGGAAAGGACUCACUUUCUCAUUCCAUGGGUACAGAAACCAAUUAUCUUUGACUGCCCUUCUCGACCACGUAAUGUGCCAGCCAUCACUGGUAGCAAAGAUUUACAGAAUGUCAACAUCACACUGCUCAUCCUCUUCUGGCCUGUCACUAGCCAGUUUCCUUGCAUCUUCACCAGCAUCAGAGAGGACUAUGAUGAGCAGGUGCUGCCAUCCGUCACGACCAAGAUCCUCAAGUCCGUGGUGGCUAGCUUUGAUGCUGGAGAACUAAUCACCCAGAGAGAGCUGGUCUCCAGGUAGGUGAGCAAUGACCUUACUUACAGAGCGAGCAGCCACCUUUGGGCUCAUCCUGGAUGACGUGUCCUUGACACAUCUGACCUUCGGGAAGGAGUUCACAGAAGCGGUGGAAGCCAAACAGGUAGCUCAGCAGGAAGCAGAGGGCCAGAUUUGUGGUGGAAAAGGCUGAGCAGCAGAAAAAGGUGGCCAUCAUCUCUGCUGAGGGCUACUCCAAGGCAGCUGAGCUGAUUGCCAACUCACUGGCCACCGCAAGGGACCGCCUGAUGGAGCUCUGCAAGCUGGAAGCUGCGGAGGACAUCGCGUACCAGCUCUCACGCUCUCGGAACAUCACCUAUCCGCCGGCUGGGCAGUCCGUGCUCCUCCAGCUGCCCCAGU